Molecule: microRNA, 20 nt
Filed under: Marchantia polymorpha subsp. ruderalis
Lineage: Eukaryota; Viridiplantae; Streptophyta; Marchantiopsida; Marchantiales; Marchantiaceae
Source: RNAcentral
AGAAGUUGUACGGACACAAG